GCUGAAGAACGUAGCGAAAUGCGAUAAGUAAUGUGAAUUGCAGAAUUCAGUGAAUCAUCGAAUCUUUGAACGCACCUUGCGCCCUUUGGCCAUUCCGAAGGGCAUGCCUGUUUGAGUAUCAUGAACACCUCAACUCUCAUGGCUUGCCAUGAUGAGCUUGGACUUUGGGGGUCUUGCUGGCCUGUGGUCAGCUCCUCUCAAAUGAAUUAGCUUUCCAGUGUUUGGUUGGCAUCACAGGUGUGAUAACUAUCUACGCUUGUGGUUUCCACCAGGUAACCUUCAGUAACAUGGGGGUUUGCUGGAGCUCAUAAAUGUCUCUCCUCAGUGGGGACAGCUCUUUGAACGUUUGAUCUCAAAUCAGGUAGGACUACCCGCUGAACUUAAGCAUAUCAAUAAGCGGAGGA
This 404-nucleotide unclassified non-coding RNA is filed under the name soil metagenome. Its description in RNAcentral is "partial contains 5.8S ribosomal RNA, internal transcribed spacer 2, and large subunit ribosomal RNA". The stretch from base 3 to 121 matches the Rfam family "5.8S ribosomal RNA", at positions 37 to 154 of the family's 154-position model. The record is from RNAcentral.